RNAcentral lists this ribosomal RNA (445 nucleotides) under uncultured bacterium. Its description in RNAcentral is "bacterial SSU rRNA". It matches the Rfam family "Bacterial small subunit ribosomal RNA", at positions 330 to 792 of the family's 1533-position model. The record is from RNAcentral.
CCCAGACUCCUACGGGAGGCAGCAGUGGGGAAUAUUGCACAAUGGGGGAAACCCUGAUGCAGCGACGCCGCGUGAGUGAUGAAGUAUUUCGGUAUGUAAAGCUCUAUCAGCAGGGAAGAUAAUGACGGUACCUGACUAAGAAGCUCCGGCUAAAUACGUGCCAGCAGCCGCGGUAAUACGUAUGGAGCAAGCGUUAUCCGGAUUUACUGGGUGUAAAGGGAGCGCAGACGGCAGGGCAAGUCUGAUGUGAAAGUCCGGGGCUCAACCCCGGGACUGCAUUGGAAACUGUCCGGCUAGAGUGCAGGAGAGGUAAGUGGAAUUCCUAGUGUAGCGGUGAAAUGCGUAGAUAUUAGGAGGAACACCGGUGGCGAAGGCGGCCUGCUGGACUGUGACUGACGUUGAGGCCCGAAGGCGUGGGGAGCAAACAGGAUUAGAUACCCGUGUA